AAAACCUUAAGAAGAAGGUGGAAAUCGCCCCUAGAGGCUGCUGGGUUCGAGAGAUGAUAAAGUAAAACCCUAGAAAGGGGUUUUUAAACGCAAAAUCGUACUGUCGGAUCUGCACAGAGGCGGCCGCCGCCGUGUAACGGCGCCGCCGUGAGGGCCUUUCGCAGAAUGGGCACGGCGGCCGCCGUCCCACGGCGCCCGCCGUCUACUGCAAUGCGCAGC
Molecule: long non-coding RNA, 219 nt
Filed under: Salvia miltiorrhiza (redroot sage)
Lineage: Eukaryota; Viridiplantae; Streptophyta; Magnoliopsida; Lamiales; Lamiaceae
Description: long non-coding RNA (SMIL_LNC002613)
Source: RNAcentral